GGAAAACGGAUGAGCAAGGGCUCCUAGGGUUAGGGUUAGGGUUAGAAAGCACAGAGACUAUGUGGUGUAUAUAUAUUCGUUACACAGACGAUCAUUCUGCAAUUAGGUUCUGCGAUUUACUUAUAGGAUUUCUUGUUUGCUGGAGAUGUAUUUGGGUGGAGGUUUACUUAUCUGGGUCGGUUAGGAGAUCGAUCUCCAAAUAGAUACCGUUUCUUUACAGAUUCAUAUUAGAAAACUGAAAGUGCAUCAGAGUACGAAGAAGAUGGAGUUUUAGAAACAAGCAAGCUCCUACCAAGAGUUAAUGCAGUGAAUGCGUGAUAUCAGAUGUGACAGAAAUAAUCAAUCACAACACAAGGGAGAACACUAAUAAUGUAUACACAGCACUCUUAAUGGUUUUUAAGCACAUCUCGUUUCUGAGCUUCAAGCUUGAAUCUGCAGUCUGCGCUUAGGCAAUUGAAAGAGGCAGCGAUACGAAAUGUUAUAGAUAGUUUAUAGUAAAUGAGCAGCAUUGAUAAAUUUAAAACGUAUAAUCACUAUGAAAUUACAGCAGACGGAUUUUUAUUAAAAAAGAAAUAUACUUACAAAUACUCAAAAAAUUUCUUGAUUCUUUAUUAAAAUACUUUUAAGAUACAGAGUAAUGGUGGCCACGAUGCAGAAAUCCCCCAUUCCAACACUAGACAACCUUUUCUCUAACAGCGCAUUUUCAACUAUUUCUCUGAUUAGAUUUAUAAUUGCCUUGAUUUGGUAGUGGACGGUUUAUAUCAUUCUUCCAUUCUCACCUUUCAUUAGGUUUGAUAAAUAUCCAAUUUUUGACCUUUUUUUACAAGCUUCUUGCAGGCUUUUGACGGACUUCUACUUCAACUUCGCUGUAAACUAAUUUUGGGCUUUAUCAUUUAAAGAAAAUUCUUUUAAUGCUCUACUGCUCCUUGUAUCAUAUUAUUCACCUUAAGCUACUUUUUUGGCAAAGGUUUGAAGGCUAAAUAUGGUGGAAAGACGGACAACUGACUGCCAAAGCAUUUGUUACAUUUAUAACUGCUGCUGGAGUGAGUUUAUAUUAUUUGUGCUAGUUUUUGGCAAAGGUUUGAAGGCUAAAUAUGGUGGAAAGGCAGACAACUGACUGCCAAAUCAUUUGUUACAUUUAUAACUGCUAGCUGGAGUGAGUUUAUAUAAUUUAUGUUUUAGCACAAUGAGUGGCAUUGUUCUGUGAUAUAAGAAGAGUUGUACAUCUAUUUCUCUAAAGAGAUUGGGCUGAGCCUCAUGCAGCCAUGAUGGAUAUUGUUGUUAGUGGUGCAACUGUGCCCGCUGGAUUCCCCACCAGAAUCUUCUUCGCUGUUGUUGCAUAACAUUUUUCAACUAUACUGUCUUGCUGUUUUUUCUUCAAAGUUUUCAAAAAACUAGAUUUAAUUUGGAAUGCUUUUUGUAAUUAAUUUUGAUGAAAAAAAAGAUGUUGCGAAGAAAGUUAAAAUAGCAAUUCAAAGAGAUGCAGCUUCAUGAA
Molecule: long non-coding RNA, 1495 nt
Organism: Cryptomeria japonica (Japanese cedar)
Lineage: Eukaryota; Viridiplantae; Streptophyta; Pinopsida; Cupressales; Cupressaceae
Exons: 2
Source: RefSeq, a predicted model, not a curated record